RNAcentral lists this ribosomal RNA (253 nucleotides) under uncultured bacterium. Its description in RNAcentral is "partial 16S ribosomal RNA". It matches the Rfam family "Bacterial small subunit ribosomal RNA", at positions 524 to 776 of the family's 1533-position model. The record is from RNAcentral.
UACGUAGGUGGCAAGCGUUGCUCGGAAUCACUGGGCGUAAAGGGCGCGUAGGCGGGGAGGGAAGUCGGGUGUGAAAUCCCUCGGCCCAACCGAGGAACUGCGCCCGAGACUGCUUCUCUUGAGUCCCGGAGAGGAAGGUGGAAUUCCCGGUGUAGCGGUGAAAUGUGUAGAGAUCGGGAGGAACACCGGUGGCGAAGGCGGCCUUCUGGACGGUGACUGACGCUGAGGCGCGAAAGCGUGGGGAGCAAACGGG